RNAcentral lists this ribosomal RNA (253 nucleotides) under uncultured bacterium. RNAcentral describes it as "partial 16S ribosomal RNA". It matches the Rfam family "Bacterial small subunit ribosomal RNA", at positions 524 to 776 of the family's 1533-position model. The record is from RNAcentral.
UACGUAGGGUGCAGGCGUUAAUCGGAAUUACUGGGCGUAAAGGGCGCGUAGGCGGUCUUCUAAGUCUUGUGUGAAAUCCCUCGGCUCAACUGAGGAACUGCACGGGAUACUGGAAGACUUGAGUUCGGGAGAGGGAAGCGGAAUUCCGGGUGUAGCGGUGAAAUGCGUAGAUAUCCGGAGGAACACCGGUGGCGAAGGCGGUUCUCUGGGAAUGUCCUGACGCUGAGGAGCGAAAGUGUGGGGAGCGAACAGG